Ornithorhynchus anatinus (platypus) is the source of this 706-nucleotide long non-coding RNA. RefSeq lists it as uncharacterized. The record is from RefSeq and is a predicted model, not a curated record. The transcript has 2 exons. Lineage: Eukaryota; Metazoa; Chordata; Mammalia; Monotremata; Ornithorhynchidae.
UCUGAAUGGGCCCUGGAAAUGGAGCGUUGAAGCCGUGGAGAUCGAGGGUUCUGGAAGGACUGGAAUUCUGGAAGGACGGGAAUGGGAGAGACAACUGGGGGCGGUGCAGCCACGGAACCUGAAAGCCGCAGGGAUGAUUUCUGGCAAAAAAUGCCUUCCUCGCUCCGGACCGACCCGAUAGAAUGCAUGAAACGGAUGAAGUGGAGAUUUACAAGGAACCCAGCCGUUUUCACAGGGUCUUAUCAUUGACUACCCAGGCCCCUAAUGCCUGCUUGUCAAUUAGUGAGUUUUAGGAUGAAAUGACACUGUUCAAACGUUUCUGUGCCUAAAGGAAAGUAAACAGGAAGUCACGCCCCCAGGGGCUCGGGAGUUUUCUAUUACCUGUAGCUUAUCUUCGUGAUUCGUAUGGGUUUGAGACAGAUACCGGAAUUCCUGAGUGAGCCAGAAGCAGUGUUUGACGUGCUCCGGGGAAACGAAGUCUUCCGCCACUUUAAUACAACUGUACAAGUUAUGCACCUAAGGGAAGACGAGAGCAACCACGAGAUGAGCGCCGAAAGGCCCCAGCCGACGGAGGGGACGGGGUAAGAUUAGACUGUAAGCCCGUCAAACGGCAGGGAUUGUCUCUCUCUGUUGCCGACUUGUUCAUUCCAAGCGCUUAGUACAGUGUUCUGCACAUAGUAAGCGCUCAAUAAAUACCAUUGAAGGG